RNAcentral lists this long non-coding RNA (1532 nucleotides) under Macaca fascicularis (crab-eating macaque). RNAcentral describes it as "lncRNA (ENSMFAG00000057304.1)". Lineage: Eukaryota; Metazoa; Chordata; Mammalia; Primates; Cercopithecidae. The record is from RNAcentral.
ACAUCAUCUACCACCACUGUGGACCAGAGCUCAGCGGCUCGCUCAGAGCAUGGGCAUAGUGUGCCAGCUGCCCUGCCCUCCAGGGAGCGUCCACAGGCCAGGAAGCAGAGGUGGACAGUGCAAUGAGAGAGCAGGAAGGACGAGAAAGCCUGGUCAGGCUGUGUGAGCCCCUGGGGGUGAGCGUGCCCUGGGCCUCUCAGGCCCACGAGCUUUGCACAUGUGCGCAUGGGUGCGUUUGAGCUGUGUUUCUGACACACGCAAGUGGAAGUCUGGAACCUGGAAGGGGGCUGAGGAGAGGUGGCAGGGGGGCGGGGCAGGCAGCGGGGACCCCACCCAAGCUGGGUAGGGGCUGCAGUGGGGAAGCAGCCGGGGGACAAUGACAAAGCCCUCCUGCUGGAGGCCCCCCUGCUGAAGAGCAGGUGCGGGAGUCAGAUGCCUCCGCCCUCUGGCAGGACAGAGAAGCAGGGGCACAUCCCCCAUACACCUGAGCGUGCGGCCACAACUCCUACAUGCUCCACAAACCUGCUUUCCCAGCGCCCUCUCCACCUGGGGGAUGUCACCCCUUCCAGGGGCUCUGGUCCUAGAGCUCUGAAUCUUUCCAGUACUUUCCAAUGAAUCACAACUUUCACUGAGAGCUGAGCCACUGAGAGGCCAGCCCGGUGGAUAAGGGAGGGAUAGAGCUGACGUGCCAUGGGGCAGAACCAGGCCUAGCUUUCCUAGCGGGGGUGGAUCUUCUUUUCUGGGGUUCAAAAACUGCUUCUGAUGCAAAACACGUGCUUCCCAAGCUUCCGAGAAAGUGACCUUCAUUUCAAUCAGAAUUUUUUUUUGUUGAGAUGGAGUUUUCUCUGCCGCCCAGGCUGGAGUGCAGUGGCGCCAUCUUGGCUCACUGCAACCUCCGCCUCCCGGGUUCAAGUGAUUCUUCUGCCUCAGCCUCUCGAGUAGCUGGGAUUACAGGCGCCCGCCACCUCGCCCAGCUAAUUUUUGUAUUUUUAGUAGAGACAGGGUUUCACCAUGUUGGCCAGGCAGGUCUCAAACUCCUGGCCUCAACUGAUUCAUCUGCCUCAGUCUCCCAAAGUUUUGGGCUCACAGGCGUGAGCCACCACGCCCAGCCUCAAUCAGGAGAAUGUUGACACAAUCAUGAAUUUGGGGUCCCGGUCGAAGUCAGUGCAAUGGGGACGGCAGCAGCUGGCUGAGCAUUCAGGUGCAGACGGCACCUCACUCGUCAACGCCUGCUUCCCGUUUCUACCUCAGCAAGCUCCCCCCAGCCCUGGGCCUCUGCAGGGCGCCUCAGCCAGGGGCUGGCCCCUUCUUCCAUGUGGGAGACUGUGCUGGGACCUGAGGCCCUCGGGGCCUCCUCCUGCUGCUCCACAGUGCCUCUGCAGCCCCUCAGUCACCCCUCGAAGUGCUUGUCACCGUCACAGCAAGUUGCUUUGAUACCAUCUGUCAGGUGGGGUCAUGUUCUGAAGCAUUUUUGCCCCUGCAAUUAUUUUUUCUUCUUUAAAUAAAUUAUGCAGCUGAAGCAGCUGCCCACC